RNAcentral lists this long non-coding RNA (877 nucleotides) under Theobroma cacao (cacao). Its description in RNAcentral is "long non-coding RNA (TCAC_LNC002207)". The record is from RNAcentral. Lineage: Eukaryota; Viridiplantae; Streptophyta; Magnoliopsida; Malvales; Malvaceae.
AAUUUUCAUGUAUGGGCCCAAACGUAAGACAAUGGUGCAUGUGAAAUGUUUUAUUGCACUUGGCAAUUGCUGAACCAAAAAUGGCUUCGGAUUUUAGGAGCCAAAUUAUUUUCUUCUGGUUUCUAUAAUGAGAAGGGACCAACCAGGAGAAAAGGGAAAGCUUUUUCUCUCCCCUCAGCUACAUAUCAGAGUCAGUAAAAGUAUGCUUGGAAAACCUGAAAGUGGAGGAAAGGCUUUCUUCUUUAAACAUGCCAGCAAUUUUAUAACAGAAACUAUUAACAAUAGAGAAUACAACGCUUUCUUUUGGCGCUGCUUUGAGCUUCCAUUCGGUAAAAAACAUAAAAGGGCUAAACAACAAAAUAGAAGAGCCAGAGACAGAGUUUAAUGUGUAGCAGAUAAAUUAAAGUAUUGCUACGUGUGGGGCUGAUGCACUGGAACUUUGCAGAGGGUAACUAGGAGGAUUCUGAUCAGCUAAUAUGUAAAUGCAUCGAGUUUUUGGCCUGGCGGAAUCUAUGGUUGGGUCAAGUAUCUUUGAUCCCCCAUGUGCUGCUUUGGACAUAAGUCGUGGCCUCAAAUUUGUACUUUUAUGUUGGCCUCCAAGAAAAGCAUCCCCCAUCCCUCUCAUUCUGAGAAUUGAUUAUUCACUAAUGACAAGGUGUGUUCAUUGCAAAUUUCUACUUUGAAAUUGACAAGUCCUUUCUACUUUGAAAUUCAGUGCAUAUGCACCAAUAUUGGCUUUUAGAUUGCCUUGGUUCUUUCUCAUGGAAACCCAAGUUUUCAUUUUGGAUUCUUAUUGCCAUUUUCAAAAGAUUUUACCUUAACCUGUUUCAUCUAUAUCAUCAAACAGCAAAGAAUGCCAUUAUCAGGUAAAAGUAGG